UAGGGAAUCUUCCGCAAUGGGCGAAAGCUUGACGGAGCAACGCCGCGUGAGUGAUGAAGGUCUUCGGAUCGUAAAACUCUGUUAUUAGGGAAGAACAAAUGUGUAAGUAACUAUGCACGUCUUGACGGUACCUAAUCAGAAAGCCACGGCUAACUACGUGCCAGCAGCCGCGGUAAUACGUAGGUGGCAAGCGUUAUCCGGAAUUAUUGGGCGUAAAGCGCGCGUAGGCGGUUUUUUAAGUCUGAUGUGAAAGCCCACGGCUCAACCGUGGAGGGUCAUUGGAAACUGGAAAACUUGAGUGCAGAAGAGGAAAGUGGAAUUCCAUGUGUAACGGUGAAAUGCGCAGAGAUAUGGAGGAACACCAGUGGCGAAGGCGACUUUCUGGUCUGUAACUGACGCUGAUGUGCGAAAGCGUGGGGAUCAAACAGG
Molecule: ribosomal RNA, 429 nt
Filed under: Bacteroidota bacterium
Lineage: Bacteria; Pseudomonadati; Bacteroidota
Description: Bacteroidetes bacterium partial 16S ribosomal RNA
Rfam family: Bacterial small subunit ribosomal RNA
Source: RNAcentral